ACACGACCGUACCGCAAACCGACACUGGUGCGCGAGAUGAGUAUUCUAAGGCGCUUGAGAGAACUCAGGAGAAGGAACUCGGCAAAUUGACACCGUAACUUCGGAAGAAGGUGUGCCUUUAGUAGGUGAAGUCCCUCGCGGAUGGAGCCCAAUGAGGUUGCAAAAAAUCGGUGGCUGCGACUGUUUAUUAAAAACACAGCACUCUGCAAACACGAAAGUGGACGUAUAGGGUGUGACGCCUGCCCGGUGCUGGAAGAUUAAAUGAUGGGGUGCAAGCUCUUGAUUGAAGUCCCAGUAAACGGCGGCCGUAACUAUAACGGUCCUAAGGUAGCGAAAUUCCUUGUCGGGUAAGUUCCGACCUGCACGAAUGGCGUAACGAUGGCCACACUGUCUCCUCCUGAGACUCAGCGAAGUUGAAAUGUUUGUGAUGAUGCAAUCUCCCCGCGGAAAGACGGAAAGACCCCAUGAACCUUUACUGUAGCUUUGUAUUGGACUUUGAACAGAUCUGUGUAGGAUAGGUGGGAGGCUUUGAAGCAGGGUCGCUAGAUCUUGUGGAGCCAACGUUGAAAUACCACCCUGGUGUGUUUGAGGUUCUAACCUAGGCCCGUAAUCCGGGUUGGGGACAGUGCAUGGUAGGCAGUUUGACUGGGGCGGUCUCCUCCCAAAGUGUAACGGAGGAGUUCGAAGGUACGCUAGUUACGGUCGGACAUCGUGACGAUAGUGCAAUGGCAUAAGCGUGCUUAACUGCGAGACUGACAAGUCGAGCAGAUGCGAAAGCAGGACAUAGUGAUCCGGUGGUUCUGUAUGGAAGGGCCAUCGCUCAACGGAUAAAAGGUACUCUGGGGAUAACAGGCUGAUACCGCCCAAGAGUUCAUAUCGACGGCGGUGUUUGGCACCUCGAUGUCGGCUCAUCUCAUCCUGGGGCUGUAGCCGGUCCCAAGGGUAUGGCUGUUCGCCAUUUAAAGAGGUACGUGAGCUGGGUUUAAAACGUCGUGAGACAGUUUGGUCCCUAUCUUCCGUGGGCGCUGCAGAUUUGAGGAAGCCUGCUCCUAGUACGAGAGGACCGGAGUGGACGCACCUCUGGUGUAUCGGUUGUCACGCCAGUGGCAUUGCCGAGUAGCUAUGUGCGGAAGAGAUAACCGCUGAAAGCAUCUAAGCGGGAAACUCGUUUCAAGAUGAGAUCUGCCGGGGCCUUGAGCCCCCUGAAGAGUCGUUCAAGACCAGGACGUUGAUAGGUCGGGUGUGGAAGCGAAG
Molecule: ribosomal RNA, 1254 nt
Filed under: metagenome
Description: bacterial LSU rRNA
Rfam family: Bacterial large subunit ribosomal RNA
Source: RNAcentral